This 253-nucleotide ribosomal RNA is filed under the name uncultured bacterium. Its description in RNAcentral is "partial 16S ribosomal RNA". It matches the Rfam family "Bacterial small subunit ribosomal RNA", at positions 524 to 776 of the family's 1533-position model. The record is from RNAcentral.
UACGGGGGGUGCGAGCGUUGUCCGGAAUCACUGGGCGUAAAGGGCGCGUAGGUGGUCUGAUAAGGGUGUGGUGAAAGCCCGGGGCUCAACCCCGGGUCGGCCGUGCCGACUGUUAGACUAGAGUACUGUAGGGGCAGGCGGAGUUCCGGGUGUAGCGGUGGAAUGCGUAGAGAUCCGGAGGAAGACCGGUGGCGAAGGCGGCCUGCUGGGCAGUUACUGACACUGAGGCGCGACAGCGUGGGGAGCAAACAGG